Ictalurus punctatus (channel catfish) is the source of this 3490-nucleotide long non-coding RNA. The record is from Ensembl. NCBI's taxonomy places the organism in Eukaryota, Metazoa, Chordata, Actinopteri, Siluriformes, Ictaluridae.
CCGAGGUGUCGUGACUCGUAAGCGCGAACCCGGAGCGGACGGAGUCGGAGCUUCUUUCCCUCUCCCCCGUGGAGCUCUUGAAUAAAAUAAAAUUUAAAGAAGAAAAUCGCAGUCGGAGUUUAAAUUCGGGAGACAAAAGUGGUUUUUUUACUCGGCCAGAGGAAUAAAACAGGAUUUCCGCUGUAAGGCGCGAACCGGUUGAAGCGCAGUGAAGGACCGAGGUGAUGAGAGACGGAGCGGAGUCGGUGAAUCGGUUGCGGAGUCGUUUGGCAUGUUACAUCGCAUUUGGAGGUUUGAUUUGCAAUGGGUCGUCUCCACUAACACAACGCUACGUGUCAUGCCGCACUAGCAACGUCAGUGCUUGGACCCGCCAGUCGCUGCUCGCGUGCAUUCGUUGAACAUUCGGUAAAAAAAAGUUAUCACUUACGUUCCAGCAGCUAUAAACACUUGGUCCGUCACUAACCUCUUUUUUUCUUUUUUUCUUUUUCUCGCUGUCUCGAAGUUAAUAAAAGAAAAAAAAAGAAGCUUGACACCACAAUCAGUCCUGAAGAGUUUCCUGUGGUGGAAAACCUACACACACUGGAGAAAAACCCAUACACACUGUAGAUUUGCCUUGUAGGAAUCUACAUUUAGUUACCAGGAUCUGAGGGAUGCAGUAACGUCGAUUGUGAUUGGCUGCAGACUUUUUAGUAGAAAUGAUGCCACACGUCAGACUUUUUUUAUUUUUAUGUAUAUAUAUAUAUAUAUCUGUUUAUAGUUAUGUUUAACGUUGUUCAUCCCUGUGCUAUCGUGGAACCAUUUCAGAAUAUCGGAACUUAAUAAAGUCAUUCGUAGCUACGACUGGCCAAUCCGUAUUGAAAAUUCACCAGUUACGAUGAUAGCUGUACGACGUCCACGCUAUACCGUAAGUCCUGCUUGUAGUAGGCUUUAUGAGGACUUGAGCUGCGCGCUCGCUGUAAUGUAACGGACGUCGAACGUUUACCGCUCGGUUCUCGGCUUAAUUACUCCGGGCACCGGGAAGAGAGAGCGUGUAUGCUGCUUGAUUGUUGUCCCAGCAGCGUAAUGCUUCUGUGAUCAAACAUUAUCGAGCGCAGCACUCGAUAACCUCAGCAGCCACGUUUUUUUUUUUUCUCUUCUUUUCCAGGUCUACAGCCUUCAUCCACUUAAAAAGGUUGUACAUGUUCUUCCUGCGUGGGUCUUUUUUUUACUCUAGUUCUCCAAGUUAUUACGCUCGUCUCUCCAAGUCGUUCUGUCUCUAUCGUACUGAACCCGACUCGCCGGCGAGAGCUGCAGCACGCCGUCUGGACUCCUCGAAGCCUAGGAGCGUUGGGUUCGGGCUUUGUGCCCAGUUUUCAUCUGGAGUGUUGAUGAAACCAGAGCUUGAUGAGUCAUCUCUCACCAUCUGCCGGCGCUCUUAAACACACCAGAUACGGCUUAGUUUUCUCUUCCCUGCCUACGUGCGUAUGUAAGCGAAGUUUUUCUAUAUAUAAAAUGUCUACUUUUUUUUCUUUUUCUUUUUCCCUUGAGGAAAGUGGUUACUCUUUUCGUGCGCGUAAAUUCACGAGGGUUUUUAUUGCACUUUCUUUUCCAGCUCAUAAACCUCAGCGAGAGAGAAAGAGCAGCAGUGCGCCGCGGUACGUUUUUUUGUCUGUUGCAUUGUUCCGGUGAUUAAUGUCAUUCCUGACUAACCCAGCACACCUACUCGUAAAAGUCUUUUCUUUUUUUUCUUUCUUAAAUCUAAUAACAACAGCUUCUCAGUAUGCGGCAUAAAGCCUCAUUCAUAACCAGCUGGGAGUUGGUCAUGUGACCAGCAUUGGCAUUACCGCUUUUAAUUAUUACCUAAUAAAUCCGACGUACGAUUUCGGGUUCCCGUUCGCGCCCGACGAGUCGAACCUGACGCCGUAUUGCGCUGCUGUAGCUUCAAGUCUCACCGUCUCGUUUUGAGAUGCUUUCCUGCUCACCACAGCUGUAACGAGCAGUUAUUUGAACUAGACUUCUUCACCGCGCAUCGUCCUCUAGCCUCGCUCAUCCACAAGGCAGAACUGCCACUCGCUGAACAUUAUCAUUACGAUCGGUUAUUUUAUUUAUUUAUUUAUUUAUUUACUGUCCCCCCGCACCAUUCUAAAUCACCAUCCCAAUAGGACUAUAUUGUUCAACGUGGACGUAAGGUCUUUAGGUUAGAAGUUAGAAUACUGUCGUAAUCCCUAAGCCUGCCGUGUGUCCCCUGCCUGAACGAUCUGAUUUUUGUUCUCCUCGGUCAUUACGUAUUUAUUUUCCGCCACGGCUGCCAGCGUGCGCUUUUAUCGAACCUCCCUUUAAAAGGCUUACGUCUUCGUGAUGUGGGAAUUUGAAGCAGUGUGAAAAGAGAUAACCGAUGACUCGUAGCGGUAAUGAAAGCAAUUAGAACAUCGCCGGUUUCGCCAGAGCGUGCAAAGGACUAAUUUGUAGACGACGUAUAGCGUCUUUGCGGAUCGCGUUAACGGUUACGGACGGAAGACAAAAACGCUCCCUGUCAUUUUUAAAAGUAAUUAAAUUCCCUCAUCGCCCGAAGGACAAGGAUGAGAUACGUACACCAUUGUCCGGUCUUAUCAAAACCGGUCCUGGCACACGUCCGCUUUCUUUUCUUUUCUUUUCUUUUCGUUUUUUUAUCUCCCCGAUUAUGCUUUGCAAUUAAAUUUAAUAUCGAAGGAUCAUACGAGAAAGAUUCGCCUGCUCUCGGUGCACGAUGACUCAGCUGAAUCAGACGUAGAUGAAAAAGGUGGAAGGAUAAAAAAAUUAUAUAUAUUUUUUUAAAAACCCCACUGUGCUUUUCAAAAGUUUUAAGGAGAAACUCUUGAGAAACAGCUUUUUGAGUCGGAGUCUUCGCUUGAUUCGUCACACUCUCAGAGAGCCGUACGACGAUGUAAUAUCGUUACUGCGAUAUUAACCUUGCUAUGAGGCCUCGAGGUAAAAUAUCUCUGAAGGUAUAGUUCUCCGUGAUGAUGGAUGGAUCACGAUUCUCCGGGGCGUUUCUAUGAUACGGGAUAGAAUACAACAACAACAAAUUUAACGUAAAAGAUUUUAUCCUUUACUCUUCCACAUGAGCAUUUGCAUGGAUUGGGCCUCACGUAUUAUGGUUUUGAAACGUGCCUAAUUUUGUUUGAAAUAUCUCACACGAUAGAUUUACGCACAUCCGAGGUCAAAAACACUUUUUAACGCGCUCAUAAUUUAAAUCGCAGAGUUACCUUUUCCCCCCAGUGUCACAAACGACUCGCUAAAUGAUCCGUUCGAAAGGAUUCGUUCUGAGCUCCUCCUUUCAGAGAGCAUACUCUGCUCUGGGGCUGCAACUAAUGAUUAUUUUCAUAAUUGAUUAGUUGGCCGAUUCUUUUUUGCGAUUAAUCGGAUGGGGGGGGAGCGAACUUUCAGUACAAACCUCAGACUAAACCUUAAAACUUUACACAACUGUUUGCCCAAAACAGAAAAGAACCCAAUACACUCACACACACACACA